GUGGGCGACUGCGAUCCUUUCAGAAGAUCAGAAGAUGAAGUUCCACUUCUGCUGUACACCCACAAUUACGUCGGCAGGGAUGGAUAGGAGGGGCGCACUGAUCACCCGAAAAGAUGAGGAACGUGGCUUUGGACUACUCGACAGUUCCUGGGAGUUUAAAGGUGUAAUCUCAAUCCAUAGUUUUACACAUAGUAGACAAAUACAUUCCACAGAAAAAAGAAAAAUCUCCACAGUCUCGCUCUCAUCCCAAAACCAUCUCCACUUCCGAAGGGCAUAAAACAUAAUUGAAAGGAGUCAGACAAGAAGAAGAAUUUCAAAUGUAUCCAGCUGUCCAAAGGAACGUAGAAGCAUGACACAGCUGUCCUGCACAUCCACAAGAGCUGUCAGUCAAGCGAAAGGUACUUAUCUUAGUUUAAAGUGAGUAUGUAUGUGUUUACUCAAGGUGUGAAAAGGAUGGUUUAAUUAUAGACUGCCACUUGUCGCCCAGUCCCCAUGACUGCAGUCAGAAAGAUGUUCACAUGACCUUUCACUUCUCUUCUGGGACCUCUCUGCAAUCCACAAGCCAUUGUUUUAUCCACGUAUAUAAUAUUUUUUGUUUCAGAGUUAACAUUUCAUUACCUAUAUUGGAAUCAUAGCUCCUUUUUAUACAUAACUUCUCAUUUUAACUGACCAUAUGCAAUCACACAACUGAACAUAAAAUAAUAAUUAAAU
Pangasianodon hypophthalmus (striped catfish) is the source of this 711-nucleotide long non-coding RNA. RefSeq lists it as uncharacterized. The transcript is spliced from 3 exons. The record is from RefSeq and is a predicted model, not a curated record. NCBI's taxonomy places the organism in Eukaryota, Metazoa, Chordata, Actinopteri, Siluriformes, Pangasiidae.